GACUGACAGAAGCAUAAAUACUCAGAGAGAGCCGAGGCUUGGCAUUAUCUGCGAGGGAAUAAACUGUGAGUUGAAAUGUUCCAGUUGAAAUGGAAGGCAGUUGAACAAUAGAAAGAUGCCUCAUUCAACUGUUACUAUAUUAGAAAUUUACACUUCACUGAUGAUGCCCGACUGCAGUUCUCACACGCUGAUGUUUCAGAGUCCGGGAAGUCUGCUUCGGGAGUCGGGGUCUGCGGGCUCCGGCGGCCUAGGCCACUCCCAGACCUCAGCCAGAUUCAUAAAUAAUGUCAUAAUGAUAAUGUAUAAAUGACUAGAGAAACUAAUUUCCAAUUUAACGGUGCCUGAGCACUGCACCAUUUUUAUGAAUCAACAUUCUUUGGUUGCAAGAAACAAAAACAGACUCUGCUUAUCUUAAAAAAAUGACAACAGCAAGAAAAGAAAUUUUGCCGGAAGGAUUCAGGUACUCACAGAAAAGUUGGAGAGCCAGACUUUGAAAUGUACAGAGCCUGCACACCUGAGAAGAUCUCAGAACUGGGCAGAGACAAGAAUGUUCUCAUAUCAAAGAUGACUUUGGAUGUUUUAUUAGAUUCUAUGUUCCUGAUCAUGCAACAGGAGACUACAAGAUUAGAGUGACCAUUCGUGAUUGGAUCAGACACAAUGAGUAAAGUUGGAUGGCUUACAGUAGACUUACAGCAGACUUACAGUAGAAAUGAAACGCUUCUUUCAAGAUGGAACAAGACCUUCAGGUGUGCAUGAACCACAUGCACACGUAUCUCACAGCUGUGUGUCACCGUCUCUGUUGUGCUAGAGUCCCUCUCUCACUGAGACCUCAGGGCCUCCUGGGGACAAGGCGUGUGAGCGGUUUCCUAUGACUAAGUGCUGGAAGAAGAGCUAGAUAGCUUGGCCCAGUUUCCACAGGAAUUCUCACUCCACAGCAGUGCUAGUGGAAAGUGACCUGGCACCACAUGACAGCCUUGCUUGGGGCUGGAGGGGCAGGCUUGGAAAGCAUUUCCCCCUGUAGAAAGUGGUGUGAG
Molecule: long non-coding RNA, 1034 nt
Filed under: Chinchilla lanigera (long-tailed chinchilla)
Lineage: Eukaryota; Metazoa; Chordata; Mammalia; Rodentia; Chinchillidae
Description: lncRNA (ENSCLAG00000023538.1)
Source: RNAcentral